CCUGGAAGACAAUGGGGUUCAGUCUGCUUCUCGCUAUUCCUCUGUUGCUUUCCUGAGGACUACGAAACUAUGCCCUUGGUUCAGUGAUGUCUCAGAAAGCUCUUGGAGGGAAUUGCAUUCUAUCCACAAGAGUGGAGCUGAAACAGCUGAGGCCUGGAGUUACUCCUAGUGGGAGCAUUCCAGACACAGGAACACAUGUGAAAACAGGAAGCCAAAGGAAUGUGGGGAGUGGAGAAACUAAAGGAAUGCUGACAUCCAUGGAGUGUCUGUUCAACUGUGUGGAAGGCAACAGGGAGCACUGGAGAAAGAAAUUAGCAGAGAAUUUUCUGAAUUUGUUCUAUGGCAUGAAGAGUUGAACUGAGACAUGUCAAAAAAAAAGAUAUGUGAAUGUACAGAUUUCGAAUUCAGAAAUGUUAGGACUGGGGAUGUAAGUUUGAAAGCGCAAGUAAAAACUAUUUUUAAAAUUUAUUUCCAUGUUUCUGAAAGAGCUCUUUAGACUACUUACAUUAGAAGGCCCUACAUAGCUAUUUCAUAACUCAGUGCUUUUCAGGCUUUAACAUGCAUCAAAGUCACCAAGGUACAGUAUAGUUAGGAAGAUAAAAGCUCUACAUUCAAUCUGCUUUGGUUUGAAUAAGCUUGGAGACUUUCUAGAAUAAACUUGGGCAACUUAGUCUUUGUGCCUCAGUUUUUUUUCUCUAUUAAAUGGAAGUAAUAAUACCUCAUUGGGUUUCUUGAAGACUAAAUUAAAAAAAAUAAGAACAUAAUUGAAUAAAUCAAAUAAGUUGAUUUAUAAUAAAGCCUUUAGGACACUUAGUGGCACUUAGAAAAUAGACAAAAAUGUUAGACUAGGCAUUAUUAUUUUCCAGAUAAUUUAUUAAAAUGCAGAUUUGUGGACCCCCAACUCAGGAUUUUCAUGUAAAUGUCAUGUUACAGGAUGGUGUGGACAUUUUCGUGUGGAUUUGGCUGUGUUUUAGACUGGAGAUAGAGGUGAUGAAUUAGAAUUCAGAGAUUCUUGUUAUAUUAAUUCUGGACCCACCACACUUAUUAAAUCAUAUGUGUUUUUUUGUUGUUCAAAUGCCAAAGAAUCUACAUUUUCAAAUAAACUCACCAAAUCUUAGCAAUGUUGAUCUAUAUCCAUGCUUGAAAGGAAUACUGUAACUCCGUGUUAGAACAAUCUCAGUGUCUCAGUUAUUACCAGUUGCUUUUUUGUUGUUGAUUUAUAGUUAUUAUGAAAAGAAGUGGGCAUCUGGAGGAAACUUUUACAUUUUCCUUAGAAAAAUUUUAAUAUAAAUUGCUGAGAAUUGGUAGCUCUCUGUUUAGUAUCACUAUUCUUUCUUCUUAGUUCAGGAAAUAUCCUGGUAGUUUUGUUCCUCUGAAAGUAGGAGAUGGGUCUCUCUUCAGCAUCUCUUCAGUCAACCAAGCACCUGUUUUUAUAAAAUAAAAGAAUGUUGUUUGUAUCUGGAUCAUUACUUAAAGUAAUAAAAAAACAUUGCCAAGCAGUGUAAACAUCAAUACCCAUGAAUUAUUAUUCUUUUAAAAUGUUGGCUAAAUUUACAUAUAGAUUAAACUUAGAAUUUAUGAAAUGUGAUUUUCUUUCAAUCUGAUGGCUUAAUGCCACUAGUGUUUUAUGGGUAAGGUCCCUGCACAGAAGGCUGUAUGUUUUUCCAUGUGACUGAGGACAUGGAAAACCACAUCGUUGGCAGACAUCAUGGCAUUAAAUUGCAAAUUGAAUUUGAGAGAGCAGAGAAAGGGUGUGUUGGAGAGUGACUGAGGGCUGGAAAUUAAACCUAUGUGGAGUGAACAUAUGCUCCUGAGAAACUCAUAGUGGAGCUUCCUCUUCUCAAAAGGUGGUUUACAGAGAGCAGAUUUCAUUAUUGAGGGCAUAUAUUUGGUACAGCUUUUGUUCACCACCAACUCAACUCCUUCUGUCUAGACAACAUGUCUAUCCCCUUUCAUGGAGGUUUAUUACCUGCACACAUGCACAUUCACACCCAACACCCCUAGGCUGGGUGGGCCCUCUCUUCUCACAUAGUCUGACUGUAGGUAGAAAUGAAACCAGACCCUCAGGCUUCACCUUUUUACUGCUUCAUGUGUUAAUGACUUUUACUUGCAACUUUGGUGACAGAAAAAUGUAACUUCUUUGGCAGACCCCCCAACUUUAAAUUACAAAUUGAUUUUGAGAUGCAGUGAAAGGAUGUGGCAGAGAGUGACUAAGGACUAGAUAUUAGAAUGAUGUGGAGUUAAUAUCUGUGACCUGAGAAACUCACAAUGAUCCUUCUUGCUUUCUGAUGAGGGUUUACAAACAGCAGGUUUAAUUAUGGAGGCCGUAUGUUUGAUGUCACUCUUUGAUCAACACUGAUUCAUCUUGUUUGGAUGGACAAGACUUUAAUCUCCUUUCCUGGAAGUCUACAGUCUACUGCACACACACACACACACACACACACUCACACUCAUCUCCCCAACCUAUCCUGACUCUUAAGUAAAACAGAAACCAGAUUCUUAUGUUUUCACCUUGAUUCUUUCAUGCUUUACAUCCCAGUGGCUUUCCCAUUGUGACUUUUUUUUUUUAGAUUAUUUAUUUAUUUAUUUGUCAGAGAGAGAGAGGGAGA
Long non-coding RNA from Lutra lutra (Eurasian river otter), 2609 nucleotides. RefSeq lists it as uncharacterized. The transcript is spliced from 3 exons. NCBI's taxonomy places the organism in Eukaryota, Metazoa, Chordata, Mammalia, Carnivora, Mustelidae. The record is from RefSeq and is a predicted model, not a curated record.